This 4666-nucleotide long non-coding RNA is filed under the name Homo sapiens (human). RNAcentral describes it as "non-protein coding LINC01366:16". The record is from RNAcentral. Lineage: Eukaryota; Metazoa; Chordata; Mammalia; Primates; Hominidae.
AGAAGGAGUUGCUGAGAAGGAGCUGUGGUUCUGACCUUCAGGGGAAUUCCCACGUCUGUAUGGUGGCUCGUGAAGAGCAUGGUUCCUUUUCUCAGCCCUCUUGAGGGGCGAGGAUGCUGAGGACUGAAGUCGGUGGGGCUUGAUGCAUGUGGUGUGUGGAUGGUGUGGGGAGGUGGGGAAGGAGGACUAACAUGAAUGGUGUGAGGUCUUUCAGAGGGGUCUUCCCAAGGUCACAUAGUUGACGGGGGGUGAGUACUCACACUCGUGCAAAGGUGGGGGAUAGGAAGGGAAACUGAGGCCAUUAGUAUUUGGCACCAUAGCUGGUCUCUGAGGCUUUCAAAUGUUCCCCCAGGAGGUUCAGCCUCUGUGGGGAGAAGCCAGGGGAACCCCAUGGCACAUCCCCAGCCCUGCCUGCUACCCGCCUCUGCCAUCUCCCCUUCCCCUGGGCUAUGAGGGGAGGUAAUGAGACCUGUGACUCAUACAGUGCUCUCCUUUUCCCUCCUAUCAGCUCAGACUAAGCAGAGAAGUGGGCAGAGCUCUUUCACCAGAGGUGGAGGGGCCUGUUGGGGAGGGGACCCACCAAAUCCUUGGGGGUGGUUCUCAGCUCCCCGGAGAUAGGGGAGAUGAGACCUCAGGAAGGCUCUGAUCAGGCGUCUUCUGUUCUCUUUCCUUUCUUGGGUGGGAAUGAUGCUUCCCACUUUUGUGGUCCACCUGCAGGCCGCCUUUCAUCCUUCUUCAAGUCACAGAGAGACAGAGAGGAGGGGACGAAGGACGAGCCAUGGGGUUUUGAAAGCAGGCACAGCAGCAGGGGUGCUGCCUCCAGGGGUCUGCUCUGCCAAGAGUUCCUGUCCCAGGGCCUGCUCUCUGUCAUGUGAUGCUAUACUACAGCCAGGCUGGAAUUUGGUGUCUUAUUGCUACAAAGAAUCAGCUUUGUCAAUCCUAAGGUCACUGAGAGGCUGCCAGAGGGCCAUUUUCAUGACCAGAGGGAUCUGUUCAACACCCUGUGGGUCCCAGCACCUAUCUCAGGAAGCAGGGUGCAUCUGUCCACCACCAAGUCUCAGGGUGGCUGGGUGAGCGCUCAUCAGUCCCAGACAGCAGGUUGGCACAAAACGACACUGCCCACAAAACCACAGGAAGAAGAGAAACUCCGACUGUCUUUCAGCACACAGAAGACACUGUACUGGACCCGGACAUUAGGCAGACACCCACGCCUGACUUUCAGGAGAAAAGAGAACAUGACUAACGGAUAUUCUUAGUAGAUGGUUUAUUAGAAAAGAGAACAUCUUCCAGCAUGUGUCCUGGGGUGAUGGGUGUGGGAAGCACUCAGUCCAUAGUCCUGGUCCCUGGCUUCCCCAAGCCCAGCACCAUGAAUGUACAGUGGAAAGCAGAGGGUGCAGCGUCUCAGAAAGAUGCUUCCACUCACAAGGAUUGGAGCUCACAAGUGAGCUCCAUAACCUGCAAACCAGAGAAACCUGAGACACUGCCCCUUGGCCAUUUUAUCAACGGAGACUUUAUUGUGAUUAUCCCGGCAGGGGGCCGAGCUCUCCUCUCUGCAACAGGAAAUGCUCUUUAGUGAAAAUGCAGCAUUUCUCCAAGGGUAACAAAGCUGAACGCCUGCUUAGCUUAUGAACCCUCAGUUGGCCUAGGUGGUGCAAAGACCCUGCUGUUACUGCUUUGAUCAUCAGUACUGUGGACUGUACCAGGAGAUCCCUGGGAAUGUGCUCUGGGCGGAAGCAGCUUUUAUCUUUGGCCCUCACCCAUGCUUUAUAUGGUGAGGUUGGGAAAAUGGCACAAGGCUUCUCCUGAACCUCAAAUCAACACCCUUGCCCCAUUUAGAUCCUAUCUGGCUGUUUCUUGCUAAUAUUACUGCAUCACUGCACCAUCUUUCCUAUUUCAGCAAAGUGGAGUCAUGUGUGGUUUAUGGGGUAGAUGGACCCCAAAACUGAUAAUAUGAAUCAAGCUAUGGUGUUUACUCCCUAGGAAAUGCACAAUUUUUCUGGAAACCUACAGAAGCUUCAAAUGCAUUCGCCAUGCAAAGCUAAGUCAGCAGAACAACCCGUUUGGCUUUGGAGGCUAGUUCAGUUCCGCGGACAGGGAGAAAGAUGAGGCAGACUGUGGUUUUUCAGUUCCUGGAGCUUACGGAGCUCCAAAGCUCCCUCUCUUCCCACCCUGGCUGCACUGUUCUUAAUUUUAGAUAAUACCCUGCCUUCUCGUAUUGCUGCUGAGCUCCUAGCAUCCUCAGUUUAUCUGUCUGUGAAAUGAAAAAUCUAAUGUUAAAUUUUUUACCUAUGGCAUGAGAGAGAUGGCUAUGGCUCUUGUGAGCCUCUCUGCAGCCCCUCUUUUCCUUCAAUCACCCUCUGUCUCUCCUGCCUUCUGCUUAUUCUCUCUCUCCCCUCAUCCCCACUUUCCCAGUGGGUCCUCUGUUCUCUUUUUUUUUUUCUUUUUAAAUCUCUCUAUGCCUCCAGCCGAGAAGAUAAAGAGUGUACAUCUUUCUGGUUAAAAAGUUUUGCUUUGCAGAAACACAGCCAAUUUAUGAUUCUGGCCUUCCCAGCUAGGGACAGUGUUCAUUUACAUUUAGGACCAUGAGGAGAGAGGCUUAGCUGUGUGUUUCUGAGGCCGGAGAAAAUUACAGUGAUAUAUAACAGUGCUGCACUCAUAGAGGUGCUGAGCCGGGGUUGGGCUCAGGCGGCCGCUAAGCUCAGAGUGGAAAGUUUCAGAGGGGAGGCAGAAAGGAGAGGUCUAUAGCUCCUCCAGAUUCUAGGUAUUAAUUUACUAAGAUAUUCCUAAGCCAGAAAACAGAGACAGAAGACAAAGAGAAAGAGGGAAGAAGAGCAAGACAGAGAGUUAGAGAGAGACAAAGAGAGAGAGUUAGAGACAAAGAGAGAGUGGAGAGGAGAGAGAGCAAAUAUUGAAAGGAAAAGGAAAAAGAAAGAAACCUGACAGCUCAUGAACUUUUUAAAAAGUUACAAAUUAGAUUUGAAGAGAUGGGCAGAGGUUUAAGAUUUCUUCAUUAGGCUGGGUGUGGUGGCUCAUGCCUGUAAUUGCAGCACUCUGGGAGGCUGAGGGUGGCAGAUCAUCUGAGGUCAGGAGUUCGACACCAGACAGGCCAACAUGGUGAAACCCUGUCUCUACUAAAAAUACAAAAAUUAGCCAGGCAUGGUGGCACGCGUCUGUAAUCCCAGCUACUCUAGAGGCUGAAGCAGGAGAAUCGCUUGAACCCAGGAGGCGGAGGUUGCAGUGAGCCAAGACUGUGCCAUUGCACUCCAGCCUGGGUGACAGAGUGAGACUCUGUCUCCAAAAAUAAAAAAUAAAAAAAAAAGGUUUUUUUAAAUUAUACUUUAUUUUUAGGGAUUUUUCUUUAUCUACCACUUGCUAAAAGGGCCCCAGCAGCAGGUGACUGGCAACAGAAGAAGGUUCCAGAAAAAUGAGAGUCACUUCACUGGGCCUUUGUCCUUGACCUGAAGGAUUUCUUGUACCUUGUGCACUUUUCUGGGGUGCAGGAUGGUUGAGAGGUGCAGUGGUCAAGGCACUUGAUGCUUGUCCUGGAGACUGAGGUUAUGGGUUGAUCUGUCUGGGUGCCACUCAGAAUCCUGAAACCUGGAUCUGCCACUUACAAGAUGUGUGUCUAAAUCAGGUUUCUUCUCUCUGAGCCUUGGUUUUCCCAUCUGGAACAUGGACAUACCAAUAUCUCACAAUGUUAUUAUAAGACUCACUCAUAUCAAUAUGCUAUUAAGUAACACAACUAGCAAUGGCAACUGCUCAUAACUCACAUGUAUUGAACAGUGCACUGGGUCCUCAUUUUACAUUUGUGAUCCCGGUGGGUCCUCACGUCUUCCCCACCAGGUGAGGACCACAAACAGCCUCACGUUUUAAAUGAUGCUUAGAAAAGCCAAGACAAAACUUAAUACUGCCAGAGUGACUCCAAAGCCUUUUCGCUUUAGCAACCAUAUAGGUGCCCAAAACAGUUUUGCUUCAUCUCCUUCUCCCACCUGUUGAUGUUUUUGUUUUCCAUUUCCAUAGACCUGUUCCCUGCAGAGGGAGCCCAGCCCUACAUGUGGGGAUGAGGGUGUCAAGAGUUCCCGCACCCAAGUCCUGACUCUCUCGGCCAAUAGUUGGCCGAGGAACCUUGGGUGAAGUCACUUCAUCUCUUUGAGGCCUCUGUUUCCUCUUCUCUAAAAUACAGAGGAUGUUGUGGGUCCUACCUGCUCAGAGAGCAUGUUUUGAGGACCCAGCGUAGGAGGGCAAUCUUAUUAGUCCAGGGAGAAGCCACAGCGAAGAGGAAGGGCAGGAUUCUCUUCCUCUCUCCCGGCCCUACCAGACUUGCCUUGACCUGUGCAUCCCGGGCACAUGAGGGAGAAUACAGGCCCAAGCCAGGUGUGACUACAUCCAGAUGUUAGUGGGGAAGGAAAAGAGACAAAAACCUGGAAUUUAUUCAGGUCUGGGACCUAGACCUCUGCUCCAUUGGGAAAGCAGUCAGAUUUUAGGAUAAAAGAGAGAGGCUUAGAGCUCAGUCACAUGGGGCUUCAAGUCCCCAUAGUGUGGCCUGGGGCAAGUCACUGUCAUUCUGGGCCUUAGUGUCCUCUUCUAUAAAAUGGGAAUAAAACUAGCGCUUACCUCCAAGUGUAGAUGUGGUAAAAUCAGGUUUAGAGAGUACCUGGCCCAGGCU